Molecule: ribosomal RNA, 139 nt
Filed under: uncultured eukaryote
Lineage: Eukaryota
Description: partial 18S ribosomal RNA
Rfam family: Eukaryotic small subunit ribosomal RNA
Source: RNAcentral
UGGUGGAGUGAUUUGUCUGGUUAAUUCCGAUAACGAACGAGACCUUAACCUGCUAAAUAGUUAGGCUACCCCCUGGGUGGUCGUCAACUUCUUAGAGGGACUAUCAGCGUUUAGCUGAUGGAAGUUUGAGGCAAUAACA